RNAcentral lists this transfer RNA (63 nucleotides) under Xenopeltis hainanensis. Its description in RNAcentral is "tRNA-Lys". It matches the Rfam family "tRNA". Rfam says of the family: Transfer RNA (tRNA) molecules are approximately 80 nucleotides in length. The record is from RNAcentral. Lineage: Eukaryota; Metazoa; Chordata; Lepidosauria; Squamata; Xenopeltidae.
CAUUAAGAAGCUUUUAUAGCAUUAGCCUUUUAAGCUAAAGAUGAAAACAAUUUUCCUUAAUGA